GACGAACGCUGGCGGCGUGCUUAACACAUGCAAGUCGAGCGGUAAGGCCCUUUCGGGGUACGACGAGCGGCGAACGGGUAGAGUAACACGUGGGUGACCUGCCCUCAGCUCUGGGAGUAAGCCUGGGAAACCGGGUCUAAUACUGGAUAUGACUCCAUGACGCAUGUUGUGGGGUGGAAAGCCUUGUGCGGCUGAGGAUGGGCCCGCGGCCUAUCAGCUUGUUGGUGGGGUGAUGGCCUACCAAGGCGACGACGGGUAGCCGGCCUGAGAGGGCGACCGGCCACACUGGGACUGAGACACGGCCCAGACUCCUACGGGAGGCAGCAGUGGGGAAUCUUGCGCAAUGGGCGAAAGCCUGACGCAGCGACGCCGCGUGAGGGAUGACGGCCU
This 390-nucleotide ribosomal RNA is filed under the name uncultured bacterium. RNAcentral's name for it is "bacterial SSU rRNA". It matches the Rfam family "Bacterial small subunit ribosomal RNA", at positions 28 to 417 of the family's 1533-position model. The record is from RNAcentral.